CUACGUGCCAGCAGCCGCGGUAAUACGGAAGGUCCAGGCGUUAUCCGGAUUUAUUGGGUUUAAAGGGAGCGUAGGCUGGAGAUUAAGUGUGUUGUGAAAUGUAGACGCUCAACGUCUGAAUUGCAGCGCAUACUGGUUUCCUUGAGUACGCACAACGUUGGCGGAAUUCGUCGUGUAGCGGUGAAAUGCUUAGAUAUGACGAAGAACUCCGAUUGCGAAGGCAGCUGACGGGAGCGCAACUGACGCUUAAGCUCGAAGGUGCGGGUAUCAAACAGGAUUAGAUACCCUGGUAGUCCGCACAGUAAACGAUGGAUGCCCGCUGUUGGUACCUGGUAUCAGCGGCUAAGCGAAAGCAUUAAGCAUCCCACCUGGGGAGUACGCCGGCAACGGUGAAACUCAAAGGAAUUGACGGGGRCCCGCACAAGCGGUGGAGCAUGUGGUUUAAUUCGACGCAACGCGAGGAACCUUACCAGCGUUUGACAUC
RNAcentral lists this ribosomal RNA (484 nucleotides) under uncultured bacterium. RNAcentral's name for it is "bacterial SSU rRNA". It matches the Rfam family "Bacterial small subunit ribosomal RNA", at positions 501 to 988 of the family's 1533-position model. The record is from RNAcentral.